RNAcentral lists this ribosomal RNA (435 nucleotides) under uncultured bacterium. RNAcentral describes it as "partial 16S ribosomal RNA". It matches the Rfam family "Bacterial small subunit ribosomal RNA", at positions 29 to 508 of the family's 1533-position model. The record is from RNAcentral.
AGCGAACGCUGGCGGCAGGCUUAACACAUGCAAGUCGAACGGGCAUCUUCGGAUGUCAGUGGCAGACGGGUGAGUAACACGUGGGAACGUACCCUUCGGUUCGGAAUAACUCAGGGAAACUUGAGCUAAUACCGGAUACGCCCUUUUGGGGAAAGGUUUACUGCCGAAGGAUCGGCCCGCGUCUGAUUAGCUUGUUGGUGGGGUAACGGCCUACCAAGGCGACGAUCAGUAGCUGGUCUGAGAGGAUGAUCAGCCACACUGGGACUGAGACACGGCCCAGACCCCUCCGGGGGGAGGGGGGGGGGAAUUUGGGAGAGGGGGCGCAGCCCUUACACACCCGUCCCGGGUGAGUGAGGAGGCCUUUGGGGUUGAAAAGCUUUUUUGCCGGGGAGGAAAAUGGGGCCCCCGAAAAAAAAGCCCCCGCCUACUUUCGUC